RNAcentral lists this ribosomal RNA (940 nucleotides) under uncultured archaeon. Its description in RNAcentral is "bacterial SSU rRNA". It matches the Rfam family "Archaeal small subunit ribosomal RNA", at positions 1 to 925 of the family's 1478-position model. The record is from RNAcentral.
UUCCGGUUGAUCCUGCGGAGGCUACUGCUAUUGGGGUUCGAUUAAGCCAUGCAUGUUGGGGUUUCUGGCAAUGAAACCCAGCAAACAGCUCAGUAACACAUGGACAAUCUACUCUUAAGAGGAGGAUAACCUCGGGAAACUGAGGGUAAUACUCCAUAGGUGAGAGACUCUGGAAUGACUCUCACUGAAAGGACAUUGACCUGUUGCCGGUCAAUGUUGCUUAAGAGAGAGUCUGUGGCGGAUUAGGUAGACGUUAGGGUAACGGCCUAACGUGCCAACGAUCCGUACCGGCUAUGGGAGUAGGAGCCGGGAGAUGGAUACUGAGACAAAGAUCCAGGCCCUACGGGGCGCAGCAGGCGCGAAACCUCCACAAUGCGCGAAAGCGUGAUGGGGGAACCCCAAGUGUCCCUGUACAACAGGGACUUUUAUAGAGUGUAAAAAGCUCUAUGAAUAAGGGCUGGGUGAGACCGGUGCCAGCCUCCGCGGUAACACCGGCAGCUCAAGUGGUAGCCGCGUUUACUGGGCUUAAAGCGUCCGUAGUCGGUCUGGUAAGUUCUUUGUGAAAUCCUAUGACUCAAUCAUAGGGCUUGCAGAGAAUACUGCCAGACUUGGAACCGGAAGAGGUCAGGGGAAUUCUCGGGGUAGCGGUGAAAUGCUAUAAUCCCGGGAAGACCACCGAUAGCGAAGGCACCUGACUGGGACGGGUUCGACGAUGAGGGACGAAAGCUAGGGGAGCAAACCGGAUUAGAUACCCGGGUAGUCCUAGCCGUAAACGAUGUGGGCUAAGUGUUUCUUGAACUUCGUGUUCAAGAAGUGUUGAAGGGAAACCGUUAAGCCCACCGCCUGGGGAGUACGGUCGCAAGGCUGAAACUUAAAGGAAUUGGCGGGGGAGCACCACAAGGGGUGGAGUCUGCGGUUUAAUUGGAUCAACGCCGGAAAU